This 409-nucleotide ribosomal RNA is filed under the name uncultured bacterium. RNAcentral's name for it is "bacterial SSU rRNA". It matches the Rfam family "Bacterial small subunit ribosomal RNA", at positions 354 to 777 of the family's 1533-position model. The record is from RNAcentral.
GUGGGGAAUAUUGGGCAAUGGGCGCAAGCCUGACCCAGCAACGCCGCGUGAAGGAAGAAGGCUUUCGGGUUGUAAACUUCUUUUGUCGGGGACGAAACAAAUGACGGUACCCGACGAAUAAGCCACGGCUAACUACGUGCCAGCAGCCGCGGUAAUACGUAGGUGGCAAGCGUUAUCCGGAUUUACUGGGUGUAAAGGGCGUGUAGGCGGGAUUGCAAGUCAGAUGUGAAAACUGGGGGCUCAACCUCCAGCCUGCAUUUGAAACUGUAGUUCUUGAGUGCUGGAGAGGCAAUCGGAAUUCCGUGUGUAGCGGUGAAAUGCGUAGAUAUACGGAGGAACACCAGUGGCGAAGGCGGAUUGCUGGACAGUAACUGACGCUGAGGCGCGAAAGCGUGGGGAGCAAACAGGA